CCUGGCUCAGAUUGAACGCUGGCGGCAGGCUUAACACAUGCAAGUCGAGCGGAAACGAUGGGAGCUUGCUCCCAGGCGUCGAGCGGCGGACGGGUGAGUAACACUUAGGAAUCUACCUAGUAGUGGGGGAUAGCUCGGGGAAACUCGAAUUAAUACCGCAUACGACCUACGGGAGAAAGGGGGCAGUUUACUGCUCUCGCUAUUAGAUGAGCCUAAGUCGGAUUAGCUAGAUGGUGGGGUAAAGGCCUACCAUGGCGACGAUCUGUAGCUGGUCUGAGAGGAUGAUCAGCCACACCGGGACUGAGACACGGCCCGGACUCCUACGGGAGGCAGCAGUGGGGAAUAUUGGACAAUGGGGGAAACCCUGAUCCAGCCAUGCCGCGUGUGUGAAGAAGGCCUUUUGGUUGUAAAGCACUUUAAGCAGUGAAGAAGACCUAUACUGGUUAAUACCCRUUAGCGAUGACAUUAGCUGCAGAAUAGGCACC
Molecule: ribosomal RNA, 485 nt
Filed under: Psychrobacter sp. ORHg1
Lineage: Bacteria; Pseudomonadati; Pseudomonadota; Gammaproteobacteria; Moraxellales; Moraxellaceae
Description: bacterial SSU rRNA
Rfam family: Bacterial small subunit ribosomal RNA
Source: RNAcentral